This 555-nucleotide long non-coding RNA is filed under the name Vigna radiata. RNAcentral describes it as "long non-coding RNA (VRAD_LNC002724)". Lineage: Eukaryota; Viridiplantae; Streptophyta; Magnoliopsida; Fabales; Fabaceae. The record is from RNAcentral.
UAUUACUUUGCAAAGUCAUUGUCAAUGGGUUUCACCCUACCAUACUCACAAGGUUAGUCUGUUCCAGGUCCUGGAUCAUACUUGAAGCACCCAAGACUAAGACCUCCUGCUACUCUCACCAAAUGUGUCAAUCCUCUCUAUAUGAGAAUGAAUGACCAUUAGGUGUCCUCCUACCACUGAAACUGCUCCUGGACCUAGAUGACCCACCAACCCUCAAUGGUUGACUCUGCUGAUUCUUCACCUCUCUCUUGGUCUUCUCAAUAACUCAGGCUCUCUCAACGAAAGCAGGAAAUUCCCUAAUACACAACUCAAUCACCAACAACUUGAUAUCACCCCUUAAGCCAUUCUCAAAUUUCCUACAUUGUCACUCCUCAUCCAUGGUCAAUGUGUGGAACCGAAUCAGAUGUUUAAAAUGAUCAGCUUACUUAGAAACUGACAUACUCUCCUGCACCAGCUGUAGAAACUCAAUUUCCUUAGCAAAUCUCACACUAUCGGAGAAGUACUUGGUAUAAAACUUCUUCUUAAACAACUCCCAUGUGAUCUGAGUACCACUAC